GAUGUCCAGUCUCCACACUUUUUUGGAUAUUGUUUGCUUAAUUUAUGACAAAAUAAUCCAAAAGCUGAUAAUGUUUCAUGCCAUCGGGUCUUAUAGUGUUAAGUUCUCAGAUCUUCAAGUUCAGUUCACGGGCAUUUAAUCAAGCUGAGGUAAAUAUGUAUAUUGGGCCAACUAGUCUAGUUAACCCGUUUCUGAACAAAGCCAUCUCAAGGGUUACAAUUUUACUAUCUCGCGUAACAGC
Long non-coding RNA from Arabidopsis thaliana (thale cress), 241 nucleotides. RefSeq annotates it as other RNA. The transcript has a single exon. NCBI's taxonomy places the organism in Eukaryota, Viridiplantae, Streptophyta, Magnoliopsida, Brassicales, Brassicaceae. The record is from RefSeq.